Molecule: long non-coding RNA, 365 nt
Filed under: Elaeis guineensis (African oil palm)
Lineage: Eukaryota; Viridiplantae; Streptophyta; Magnoliopsida; Arecales; Arecaceae
Description: long non-coding RNA (EGUI_LNC072109)
Source: RNAcentral
UUUAAACUUCCUUCCUUCCUUUCUUUCCUUUUUCUUCUUCUUUCUUUCCCUUUUUCCUUAUUUCAUUCCUCUUUCUUAUUCUCCCUACCUUACUUUUUUUCUUCUUUCUUUCAUUUCUUCUGUCCUUCUUUCUUUCUUUCCUUUCUUCUUUCCCUUUUUUUAUUUUUUUCUUCUCCCUUCCUUCCUUUCUUCCCUUUUUCUUCUUCUUUCCUUCCUUUCUAUUCUUCAUUUUCCCUUGAUUUCUUUGUAACUUUUCUUCUUGUUUCCUUCCUUUCUUUUUGCUUUUUCUUCUUCUCUCCUUUCUUUCUUUCCUUCAUCUUUUUUCUUCUUUCCCCAUGUGGAUGAGUUUCAGAUUCCCACCCCAC